GCCUAAAGCCCCUUUCUCAGCUUGCCACAAUAAACCAGAGCAAGGUUUAGUCUUUACUGGGUCACCGGCCAUCCUCUAUUAUUCAACACUUCACAACAAAAAACACUUAUUAAUCAGCGCUGACCAGAGGCCCCUUUUGAAACAAGAGAAGAGGGGAGAGAGGGGGGAGAGAGAGAGGUGAAAAGAAGAUUGAGAAGCCCCGGACAGAGCUUUCUAAAGCCAGAGCAACCAUAGGGUACCUUCCUCCAGUGGCCAAAGUUUAUUUGACACAACAAAGUUUCUAAUCAGGCCACGGAGACCUGGAUUUCUCCUCAUUUGCCUUACUCCCCUUCUCUUCCUCUGAAGAUGUUGGAGACUUUGUUGCGAGGAAGGAUGGCUUUAGGUCAAAUUGCUAAGGCCUGAUCUUAAAGAUCUAAUUGCUAUUGGAAGAGAAGCCUGUUUCCCAGCUGGGCCUCCACUCUGGAGAUGGCGCAAGGAAGACUGUCCAGCUCUGCCCUGGGCACCCCGCUGAUGGAUGAGGUGUCAGGCCAGUAGUCAUGUGAGGACUGGUUUCCAAAUGAUUUGUUGUCAGUGUCACAAUCUGAUAGAAAACUUCUGAUGGCUUUGGAGAUAACAAGAAACAGAGACAUGGUACCUGUGAACUCUUUGAGUUCUCUGUCUUCCAUGCCAUUUCUGAUGGCCAUGGCCAAGAUAAUCUUCAAGGAAAAUUCUGGAUGUGGUGCUGGCAAGAGAGACAAAUGUCCACAUUUAAAAAAUGGCAAUUGGUAUCCUGGCAAUUUCCAAAAGUGAUCACAGAGAUGCAUUUACCAAAAUUCGAAUUAUGGGGAAAAUUGGCAGAAUGAAAUUCCCAAUUUCUUCAACUUCAGACUGAAAGAAGUAAAGAAGAAGAUAGAGGAGCAA
RNAcentral lists this long non-coding RNA (900 nucleotides) under Mustela putorius furo (domestic ferret). RNAcentral describes it as "lncRNA (ENSMPUG00000031562.1)". Lineage: Eukaryota; Metazoa; Chordata; Mammalia; Carnivora; Mustelidae. The record is from RNAcentral.